AUUGAACCGCGCGGAAUGCUUUACACAUGCAAGUCGAACGGCAGCACGGAGAGCUUGCUCUCUGGUGGCGAGUGGCGAACGGGUGAGUAAUAUAUCGGAACGUGUCCAAUAAUGGGGGAUAACGAGUCGAAAGAUUCGCUAAUACCGCAUACGCCCUACGGGGGAAAGCAGGGGAUCGUAAGACCUUGCGUUAAUGGAGCGGCCGAUAUCUGAUUAGCUUGUUGGUGAGGUAAAGGCUCACCAAGGCGACGAUCAGUAGCUGGUUUGAGAGAACGACCAGCCACACUGGAACUGAGACACGGUCCAGACUCCUACGGGAGGCAGCAGUGGGGAAUUUUGGACAAUGGGGGCAACCCUGAUCCAGCCAUUCCGCGUGAGUGAAGAAGGCCUUCGGGUUGUAAAGCUCUUUCGCAAGGGAAGAAAACUUAUGAUCGAAUAAAUCAUGAGGUUGACGGUACCUUGAUAAGAAGCACCGGCUAACUACGUGCCAGCAGCCGCGGUAAUACGUAGGGUGCGAGCGUUAAUCGGAAUUACUGGGCGUAAAGCGUGCGCAGGCGGUUUUGUAAGUCGGAUGUGAAAUCCCCGGGCUCAACCUGGGAACUGCGUUCGAAACUGCAAGGCUAGAGUGUGUCAGAGGGGGGUAGAAUUCCACGUGUAGCAGUGAAAUGCGUAGAGAUGUGGAGGAAUACCAAUGGCGAAGGCAGCCCCCUGGGAUAACAC
This 720-nucleotide ribosomal RNA is filed under the name uncultured bacterium. RNAcentral describes it as "bacterial SSU rRNA". It matches the Rfam family "Bacterial small subunit ribosomal RNA", at positions 28 to 740 of the family's 1533-position model. The record is from RNAcentral.